CCUACGGGAGGCAGCAGUGAGGAAUAUUGGUCAAUGGGCGCGAGCCUGACCCAGCGAAGUAGCGUGAAGGAUGACUGCCCUCCGGGUUGUAAACUUCUUUUAUAGAGAAAUAAAGUGCGGCAAGUGUGCCUUUUUGUAUGUACUUUAUGAAUAAGGAUCGGCUAAGUCCGUGCCAGCAGCCGCGGUAAUACGGAGGUUCCGAGCGUUAUUGGGAUUUUUUGGGUUUAACGGGAUCGUAGAUGGGUUGUUAAGUCAGUUGUGAAAGUUUGCGGCUCAACCGUAAAAUUGCCAUUGAUACUAGCAGCCUUGAGUACAGUUGAGGAAUGCGGAAUUCGUGGUGUAGCGGUGAAAUGCUUAGAUAUCACGAAGAACACCAGUGGCGAAGGCGGCUUGCUGGACAGUAACUGACGUUGAGGCUCGAAAGCGUGGGGAGCAAACAGGAGUAGAUACCCCUGUAGUC
Molecule: ribosomal RNA, 460 nt
Filed under: uncultured bacterium
Lineage: Bacteria
Description: partial 16S ribosomal RNA
Rfam family: Bacterial small subunit ribosomal RNA
Source: RNAcentral